UACGUAGGUGACAAGCGUUAUCCGGAAUUACUGGGCGUAAAGCGCACGCAGGCGGCUGCGUAAGUCUGACGUGAAAUCUCCCGGCUUAACCGGGAGCGGUCGUUGGAAACUAUGCGGCUUGAGGCGAUGAGAGGGGUGUGGAAUUCCCGGUGUAGUGGUGGAAUGCGUAGAUAUCGAGAGGAACACCUGCGGCGAAGGCGGGUUGCUGGGCUGAUACUGACGCUGAUGCGCGAAAGCCAGGGGAGCGAACGGG
This 253-nucleotide ribosomal RNA is filed under the name uncultured bacterium. Its description in RNAcentral is "partial 16S ribosomal RNA". It matches the Rfam family "Bacterial small subunit ribosomal RNA", at positions 524 to 776 of the family's 1533-position model. The record is from RNAcentral.